UUGGCCUACGGGGGGCAGCAGUGGGGAAUAUUGCACAAUGGGGGAAACCCUGAUGCAGCGACGCCGCGUGAGUGAGGAAGUAUUUCGGUAUGUAAAGAUCUAUCAGCAGGGAAGAAAAUGACGGUACCUGACUAAGAAGCCCCGGCUAACUACGUGCCAGUAGCCGCGGUAAUACGUAGGGGGCAAGCGUUAUCCGGAUUUACUGGGUGUAAAGGGAGCGUAGACGGCUGUGCAAGUCUGAAGUGUAAUGCCGGGGCCCAACCCCGGAACUGCUUUGGAAACUGUACAGCUAGAGUGCAGGAGGG
RNAcentral lists this ribosomal RNA (305 nucleotides) under uncultured bacterium. Its description in RNAcentral is "bacterial SSU rRNA". It matches the Rfam family "Bacterial small subunit ribosomal RNA", at positions 334 to 656 of the family's 1533-position model. The record is from RNAcentral.